UGCUAUUUGUAACGGGCCCUUUAAAUGGCAAAUUGCCCUGCUUCCCUGGGUUGUGGAGAAGCCUAUUUGCCAGCCUCCUCCCGCAUGACUAUGGCCCCUGGGAGAUUGUGAAAACUUAUGGAAUUUUAUUGGGUGUGUAUGGCCCUUUAAGACUGUCGGUGGGCAUAUUGGGGCUUAGGGACUCUUUAUGGGACUGGUGCUGGCCCUUUAAACACCUUUUUGGGACAUCAGGAAGAUUGGGACACUGCCCCUUUAAGACGGUGUCCCCAGACUUGUUU
Non-coding RNA from Pelobates cultripes (western spadefoot toad), 278 nucleotides. NCBI's taxonomy places the organism in Eukaryota, Metazoa, Chordata, Amphibia, Anura, Pelobatidae. The record is from the annotation of a GenBank genome assembly.